CCUCCUGCUAACCCAUAGGAGGUCCAGCCUGCCCAGUGACAAAGUUCAACGGCCUCGGUACCCUAACCGCGCGAAGGUAGCAUAAUCACUUGUUCUUUAAAUAAGGACUUGUAUCAACGGCACCACGAGGGUUAGACUGUCUCCCCUCCCCAAUCAGUGAACCUGACCUCUUCGUGAAGAGGCGAAGAUGAUCAUAUAAGACGAGAAGACCCCAUGGAGCUUAAAACUAAGUAACACCCUCUUAUACGCAUACCCUAAAAAACAAGAAAACUGUUACCUAAUUUUUGGCUGGGGCAUCCGAGGAGUAAAGCACAGCCUCCUUGACGAACCAUCUUAGAAUUACUAUUCCAAGAAACAGUAACCUGAAGUAACAUGACCCGAUAAUCGAUCAACGAACCAAGUUACCCUGGGGAUAACAGCGCAAUCCAUUUCAAGAGCUCAUAUCGACAAAUGGGUUUACGACCUCGAUGUUGGAUCAGGGUAUCCCAGUGGUGCAGCCGCUACUAAGGGUUCGUUUGUUCAACGAUUAAAACCCU
This 536-nucleotide ribosomal RNA is filed under the name Phrynobatrachus africanus (African swamp frog). RNAcentral's name for it is "partial 16S ribosomal RNA". It matches the Rfam family "Bacterial large subunit ribosomal RNA", at positions 1819 to 2597 of the family's 2925-position model. Lineage: Eukaryota; Metazoa; Chordata; Amphibia; Anura; Phrynobatrachidae. The record is from RNAcentral.